GACGAACGCUGGCGGCGUGCUUAACACAUGCAAGUCGAACGGAAAGGCCCUGCUUGCAGGGUACUCGAGUGGCGAACGGGUGAGUAACACGUGGGUGAUCUGCCCUGCACUUCGGGAUAAGCCUGGGAAACUGGGUCUAAUACCGGAUAGGAGCCAUUUUUAGUGUGAUGGUUGGAAAGUUUUUUCGGUGUAGGAUGAGCUCGCGGCCUAUCAGCUUGUUGGUGGGGUAAUGGCCUACCAAGGCGGCGACGGGUAGCCGGCCUGAGAGGGUGGACGGCCACAUUGGGACUGCGAUACGGCCCAGACUCCUACGGGAGGCAGCAGUGGGGAAUAUUGCCCAAUGGGCGCGAGCCUGAUGCAGCGACGCCGCGUGGGGGAUGACGGCCUUCGGGUUGUAAACUCCUUUCGCUAGGGACGAAGCUUUUUGUGACGGUACCUAGAUAAGAAGCACCGGCUAACUACGUG
Molecule: ribosomal RNA, 465 nt
Filed under: uncultured bacterium
Lineage: Bacteria
Description: partial 16S ribosomal RNA
Rfam family: Bacterial small subunit ribosomal RNA
Source: RNAcentral